ACUACGGGGGGCAGCAGUGGGGAAUAUUGCACAAUGGGGGGAACCCUGAUGCAGCGACGCCGCGUGAGUGAAGAAGUAUUUCGGUAUGUAAAGCUCUAUCAGCAGGGAAGAAAAUGACGGUACCUGACUAAGAAGCCCCGGCUAACUACGUGCCAGCAGCCGCGGUAAUACGUAGGGGGCAAGCGUUAUCCGGAUUUACUGGGUGUAAAGGGAGCGCAGACGGCUGUGCAAGUCUGGAGUGAAAGGCGGGGGCCCAACCCCCGGACUGCUCUGGAAACUGUAAAGCUGGAGUGCAGGAGAGGUAAGCGGAAUUCCUAGUGUAGCGGUGAAAUGCGUAGAUAUUAGGAGGAACACCAGUGGCGAAGGCGGCUUACUGGACUGCAACUGACGUUGAGGCUCGAAAGCGUGGGGAGCAAACAGGAUUAGAUACCCGAGUAGUC
This 440-nucleotide ribosomal RNA is filed under the name uncultured bacterium. Its description in RNAcentral is "partial 16S ribosomal RNA". It matches the Rfam family "Bacterial small subunit ribosomal RNA", at positions 338 to 795 of the family's 1533-position model. The record is from RNAcentral.